Molecule: long non-coding RNA, 707 nt
Filed under: Homo sapiens (human)
Lineage: Eukaryota; Metazoa; Chordata; Mammalia; Primates; Hominidae
Description: HSALNT0195776
Source: RNAcentral
CCUGAAGAGAAAGCCCCAGUCACCCCAGGGGAGGCAGGGAAGCAUCUACCUCUGGCUCUAUCUCUAGCAUCAUUCUUUCUCUCUGGGUCUCUGAGUUCUUAGGUCAGGGAUGGUGUCUCUCUUGCUAAUAGCCCUGUCUCCAGAAGCACACAGGCUUGGCACACACUCCGCGGAAACCAUAGCAACGGGCAGCCGGAAGAUGCGGCCAUUCCUCUCCCUUUUGUCCAUUGCAUUUCAGCAGCGCCCGCGCACAUGGACGCUCCAAUUACAGCUCUAGAGGCUAGAAAUUGGCAGUCAGGAUGUGUGUAAGGCCACGCUCCCUCUGAAGACUCCAGGGGAGGAUCUUUCCUUGCCUCCUCCAGCUUCUGGUGGCUGCCAGCAUCCUUGGCAUUCCUUGGCCUGUGGACACAUCACUCUCAUCUCUGCCCAUGGUCACAACCCCAAGCUCCAGAAUACAGACCAGCAGGCGAGGAGACAAGGAGGCAAGCAGAUGGAUGGUGGAACAAAGUGGCAGAGAAAGAGAGAAGAGGAGAGAUGUCUGGACGCCAAGAGGAGUCUGGCUGGGGCCAGUCAGAGAAGAGUCCAGCGGCUGGGCAGCCCGACUCCAGGGGAAGAUCACCUUCCCACUCCAUCCCCCUUCACGCUCCCCAUCCAUCUCACUAAGAGCCAUCUCUACCACUCAAUAAAACCUUGCAUUCAUCCUUCAA